Molecule: long non-coding RNA, 1103 nt
Organism: Vulpes vulpes (red fox)
Lineage: Eukaryota; Metazoa; Chordata; Mammalia; Carnivora; Canidae
Source: Ensembl
CUGGACAAGCGCUCUAAAUCAAGCCAGUGGCAUGAGAUCACCCUGGCUCUAGCAUUUUGGAAGAAGAUGACCAUUUUGGAAGAAGCAGCCCAAUGAGAAAAUAGGAGACUUCUUCGAGUCUGGUGUUUGUGCGUCCAUGCAAAGACGCUACGUUGCUUUAGGACGCCAAACAGAGAAGUCACGCGGCAUGAGAAGGCUAAAAAUAAGCAGUUUUCUAAUUUCCCACGAAACCACCCUUGUUUAAGCCUAAGAUGUAAGAUGCAGUAUUCUCUCUUAGGGAACCAUUAAGGAUAAAGAAUCAACGUGAACUGAGUCUCAUAACGUGUUUUAUUUCAUUUAGUCCCUUGGCAUUUUGAGGUGGGUGUCAGGGUCCUCCCUUCACUGACAGGGAAACAACUCUAAGAGGAUCACCACGGCCAAGCUGCCACUCAAGCCAACACCUGCUCGACUUCAAGAGCCAGGCUUUUUUCUACUACCCGUCGUGUUUUGUUUUCUCCCCUCCCGUUUCGUUUGCAUUAGGUGUAGGGACUACAGCUACCCUGUCACCCACGGUCGCUGCGAAAUGUCGCUUACGGUCAGGCCCCCAGAACGGUCACGCGCCCUCCCCUCCUGAGGUGUCUCCGAAACUCGAGCUCCACCGACGAGAAGCGCAGGCCUGAGGCACCGACGCCAGCGCCAGCGCCAGCGCCAGCCCCAGCGUGGCCUCAGGAGCCCGGAAGGCGCCCCCGGGGCGCGUUUACAACACUGUCGUAAAGCGGCGGCUGCCGACAGCCGGCCUCGAGGCGCCGUCGAGGAGCUCGGCGGAGAAAGGAGAUGGAGGAAGGCUGAGGGCCGGGUGACGCCGAAUGGAGACGAGGCGCGGGGUGAAUGGUUGGAGAAGGGAGAGUGAAUGCGGAUUAUCAGGAGAACACAAUUAUAGGUUGUUGGACUUGGCCAAUAUUUCCUACAAGCAAAACCAUUUUACAGUAUAUUCACAAAUAACUAAAAGAAGACUCCGGGGCAAGAAAAUGAGAAAUGGUGGGAAGUUAGAACACUUUCUGCAACUGAAGUUAAGAGAAAGCUCUUCCUCCCCAUUGGUAUACAAAAUUAGAUACAUUGUUUGA